CCUACGGGCGGCAGCAGUGGGGAAUAUUGGACAAUGGGGGCAACCCUGAUCCAGCCAUGCCGCGUGUGUGAAGAAGGCCCUCGGGUUGUAAAGCACUUUCAGUGAGGAAGAACGCCUGGUGGUUAAUACCCAUCAGGAAAGACAUCACUCACAGAAGAAGCACCGGCUAACUCCGUGCCAGCAGCCGCGGUAAUACGGAGGGUGCGAGCGUUAAUCGGAAUUACUGGGCGUAAAGCGCGCGUAGGUGGCUUGAUAAGCCGGUUGUGAAAGCCCCGGGCUCAACCUGGGAACGGCAUCCGGAACUGUCAAGCUAGAGUGCAGGAGAGGAAGGUAGAAUUCCCGGUGUAGCGGUGAAAUGCGUAGAGAUCGGGAGGAAUACCAGUGGCGAAGGCGGCCUUCUGGACUGACACUGACACUGAGGUGCGAAAGCGUGGGUAGCAAACAGGAUUAGAUACCCUAGUAAUC
This 465-nucleotide ribosomal RNA is filed under the name Vreelandella stevensii. RNAcentral describes it as "partial 16S ribosomal RNA". It matches the Rfam family "Bacterial small subunit ribosomal RNA", at positions 338 to 795 of the family's 1533-position model. The record is from RNAcentral. Lineage: Bacteria; Pseudomonadati; Pseudomonadota; Gammaproteobacteria; Oceanospirillales; Halomonadaceae.